AGGGUUUGAUUAUGGCUCAGGAUGAACGCUAGCGGCAGGCUUAACACAUGCAAGUCGAGGGGUAACAGAAAGUGCUUGCACUUUGCUGACGACCGGCGCACGGGUGCGUAACGCGUAUGCAACCUACCUUCUACAGGGGGAUAGUCAAUAGAAAUGUUGAAUAAUACCCCAUACGAUCUUCAAGAGGCAUUACUUGAAGAAGAAAGCUCCGGCGGUAGAAGAUGGGCAUGCGUCCUAUUAGUUAGUUGGUGAGGUAACGGCUCACCAAGACUACGAUAGGUAGGGGCCCUGAGAGGGGGAUCCCCCACACUGGUACUGAGACACGGACCAGACUCCUACGGGAGGCAGCAGUGAGGAAUAUUGGACAAUGGAGGCAACUCUGAUCCAGCCAUGCCGCGUGCAGGAAGACUGCCCUAUGGGUUGUAAACUGCUUUUAUACAGGAAGAAACCUACUUACGUGUAAGUAGCUGACGGUACUGUAAGAAUAAGGAUCGGCUAACUCCGUGCCAGCCGCCGCGGUAAUAC
RNAcentral lists this ribosomal RNA (525 nucleotides) under uncultured bacterium. RNAcentral describes it as "bacterial SSU rRNA". It matches the Rfam family "Bacterial small subunit ribosomal RNA", at positions 8 to 526 of the family's 1533-position model. The record is from RNAcentral.